RNAcentral lists this ribosomal RNA (484 nucleotides) under uncultured bacterium. RNAcentral describes it as "partial 16S ribosomal RNA". It matches the Rfam family "Bacterial small subunit ribosomal RNA", at positions 30 to 507 of the family's 1533-position model. The record is from RNAcentral.
AUUGAACGCUAGCGGGAUGCCUUACACAUGCAAGUCGAACGGCAGCACGGACUUCGGUCUGGUGGCGAGUGGCGAACGGGUGAGUAAUGUAUCGGAACGUGCCCAGUAGCGGGGGAUAACUACGCGAAAGCGUAGCUAAUACCGCAUACGCCCUACGGGGGAAAGCCGGGGAUCGCAAGACCUUGCACUAUUGGAGCGGCCGAUGUCGGAUUAGCUAGUUGGUGGGGUAACGGCUCACCAAGGCGACGAUCCGUAGCUGGUUUGAGAGGACGACCAGCCACACUGGGACUGAGACACGGCCCAGACUCCUACGGGAGGCAGCAGUGGGGAAUUUUGGACAAUGGGGGAAACCCUGAUCCAGCCAUCCCGCGUGUGCGAUGAAGGCCUUCGGGUUGUAAAGCACUUUUGGCAGGAAAGAAACGUCGCGGGUUAAUACCUCGCGAAACUGACGGUACCUGCAGAAUAAGCACCGGCUAACUACGUG